Molecule: non-coding RNA, 134 nt
Organism: Triticum aestivum (bread wheat)
Lineage: Eukaryota; Viridiplantae; Streptophyta; Magnoliopsida; Poales; Poaceae
Source: Rfam
CAUGUACUCGCUCCAUCCGGAAAUACUUGUCAUCAAAAUGGAUGAAAAGAGAUGUAUCUAGAACUAAAAUACGUCUAGAUACAUCCCCUUUUAUCCAUUUUGAUGACAAGUAUUUUGGAUGGAGGGAGUAAUUU